ACUAAGCGUACACGGUGGAUGCCCUGGCAGUCAGAGGCGAUGAAGGACGUGCUAAUCUGCGAUAAGCGUCGGUAAGGUGAUAUGAACCGUUAUAACCGGCGAUUUCCGAAUGGGGAAACCCAGUGUGUUUCGACACACUAUCAUUAACUGAAUCCAUAGGUUAAUGAGGCGAACCGGGGGAACUGAAACAUCUAAGUACCCCGAGGAAAAGAAAUCAACCGAGAUUCCCCCAGUAGCGGCGAGCGAACGGGGAGCAGCCCAGAGCCUGAAUCAGUGUGUGUGUUAGUGGAAGCGUCUGGAAAGGCGCGCGAUACAGGGUGACAGCCCCGUACACAAAAAUGCACAUGCUGUGAGCUCGAUGAGUAGGGCGGGACACGUGGUAUCCUGUCUGAAUAUGGGGGGACCAUCCUCCAAGGCUAAAUACUCCUGACUGACCGAUAGUGAACCAGUACCGUGAGGGAAAGGCGAAAAGAACCCCGGCGAGGGGAGUGAAAAAGAACCUGAAACCGUGUACGUACAAGCAGUGGGAGCCUCUUUUAUGGGGUGACUGCGUACCUUUUGUAUAAUGGGUCAGCGACUUAUAUUCUGUAGCAAGGUUAACCGAAUAGGGGAGCCGAAGGGAAACCGAGUCUUAACUGGGCGUUAAGUUGCAGGGUAUAGACCCGAAACCCGGUGAUCUAGCCAUGGGCAGGUUGAAGGUUGGGUAACACUAACUGGAGGACCGAACCGACUAAUGUUGAAAAAUUAGCGGAUGACUUGUGGCUGGGGGUGAAAGGCCAAUCAAACCGGGAGAUAGCUGGUUCUCCCCGAAAGCUAUUUAGGUAGCGCCUCGUGAAUUCAUCUCCGGGGGUAGAGCACUGUUUCGGCAAGGGGGUCAUCCCGACUUACCAACCCGAUGCAAACUGCGAAUACCGGAGAAUGUUAUCACGGGAGACACACGGCGGGUGCUAACGUCCGUCGUGAAGAGGGAAACAACCCAGACCGCCAGCUAAGGUCCCAAAGUCAUGGUUAAGUGGGAAACGAUGUGGGAAGGCCCAGACAGCCAGGAUGUUGGCUUAGAAGCAGCCAUCAUUUAAAGAAAGCGUAAUAGCUCACUGGUCGAGUCGGCCUGCGCGGAAGAUGUAACGGGGCUAAACCAUGCACCGAAGCUGCGGCAGCGACGCUUAUGCGUUGUUGGGUAGGGGAGCGUUCUGUAAGCCUGUGAAGGUGUGCUGUGAGGCAUGCUGGAGGUAUCAGAAGUGCGAAUGCUGACAUAAGUAACGAUAAAGCGGGUGAAAAGCCCGCUCGCCGGAAGACCAAGGGUUCCUGUCCAACGUUAAUCGGGGCAGGGUGAGUCGACCCCUAAGGCGAGGCCGAAAGGCGUAGUCGAUGGGAAACAGGUUAAUAUUCCUGUACUUGGUGUUACUGCGAAGGGGGGACGGAGAAGGCUAUGUUGGCCGGGCGACGGUUGUCCCGGUUUAAGCGUGUAGGCUGGUUUUCCAGGCAAAUCCGGAAAAUCAAGGCUGAGGCGUGAUGACGAGGCACUACGGUGCUGAAGCAACAAAUGCCCUGCUUCCAGGAAAAGCCUCUAAGCAUCAGGUAACAUCAAAUCGUACCCCAAACCGACACAGGUGGUCAGGUAGAGAAUACCAAGGCGCUUGAGAGAACUCGGGUGAAGGAACUAGGCAAAAUGGUGCCGUAACUUCGGGAGAAGGCACGCUGAUAUGUAGGUGAAGCGACUUGCUCGUGGAGCUGAAAUCAGUCGAAGAUACCAGCUGGCUGCAACUGUUUAUUAAAAACACAGCACUGUGCAAACACGAAAGUGGACGUAUACGGUGUGACGCCUGCCCGGUGCCGGAAGGUUAAUUGAUGGGGUCAGCGCAAGCGAAGCUCUUGAUCGAAGCCCCGGUAAACGGCGGCCGUAACUAUAACGGUCCUAAGGUAGCGAAAUUCCUUGUCGGGUAAGUUCCGACCUGCACGAAUGGCGUAAUGAUGGCCAGGCUGUCUCCACCCGAGACUCAGUGAAAUUGAACUCGCUGUGAAGAUGCAGUGUACCCGCGGCAAGACGGAAAGACCCCGUGAACCUUUACUAUAGCUUGACACUGAACAUUGAGCCUUGAUGUGUAGGAUAGGUGGGAGGCUUUGAAGUGUGGACGCCAGUCUGCAUGGAGCCGACCUUGAAAUACCACCCUUUAAUGUUUGAUGUUCUAACGUUGACCCGUAAUCCGGGUUGCGGACAGUGUCUGGUGGGUAGUUUGACUGGGGCGGUCUCCUCCUAAAGAGUAACGGAGGAGCACGAAGGUUGGCUAAUCCUGGUCGGACAUCAGGAGGUUAGUGCAAUGGCAUAAGCCAGCUUGACUGCGAGCGUGACGGCGCGAGCAGGUGCGAAAGCAGGUCAUAGUGAUCCGGUGGUUCUGAAUGGAAGGGCCAUCGCUCAACGGAUAAAAGGUACUCCGGGGAUAACAGGCUGAUACCGCCCAAGAGUUCAUAUCGACGGCGGUGUUUGGCACCUCGAUGUCGGCUCAUCACAUCCUGGGGCUGAAGUAGGUCCCAAGGGUAUGGCUGUUCGCCAUUUAAAGUGGUACGCGAGCUGGGUUUAGAACGUCGUGAGACAGUUCGGUCCCUAUCUGCCGUGGGCGCUGGAGAACUGAGGGGGGCUGCUCCUAGUACGAGAGGACCGGAGUGGACGCAUCACUGGUGUUCGGGUUGUCAUGCCAAUGGCACUGCCCGGUAGCUAAAUGCGGAAGAGAUAAGUGCUGAAAGCAUCUAAGCACGAAACUUGCCCCGAGAUGAGUUCUCCCUGACUCCUUGAGAGUCCUGAAGGAACGUUGAAGACGACGACGUUGAUAGGCCGGGUGUGUAAGCGCAGCGAUGCGUUGAGCUAACCGGUACUAAUGAACCGUGAGGCUUAACC
Molecule: ribosomal RNA, 2893 nt
Filed under: Escherichia coli
Lineage: Bacteria; Pseudomonadati; Pseudomonadota; Gammaproteobacteria; Enterobacterales; Enterobacteriaceae
Also listed under: 1 other name
Description: bacterial LSU rRNA
Rfam family: Bacterial large subunit ribosomal RNA
Source: RNAcentral